GUAGCAUUAUCAAUGUGUCAAAGUUUUUGUUUAUAUUGUCUCUGUAGCAGUGUACAUACUGUGUGUGUAAAGCAAUGUAUGACAGUCUUGUGGCAGUGUGUGUAUACUGUGUCCGAGUGUGUGUGGUAUAGUGUCAAACAGGGCCAGUGCAAGGAUUCUUGCCACCCUAGGCAACAAUCCAUUUUGCCGCCCCCUCAUGGAUGCAACUACAUUCCCUCAGAGGUUUUU
Molecule: non-coding RNA, 228 nt
Organism: Pelobates cultripes (western spadefoot toad)
Lineage: Eukaryota; Metazoa; Chordata; Amphibia; Anura; Pelobatidae
Source: the annotation of a GenBank genome assembly